RNAcentral lists this long non-coding RNA (563 nucleotides) under Amborella trichopoda. RNAcentral describes it as "long non-coding RNA (ATRI_LNC000899)". Lineage: Eukaryota; Viridiplantae; Streptophyta; Magnoliopsida; Amborellales; Amborellaceae. The record is from RNAcentral.
UCAUUUUGAAAGUCUUUUAUAUUGUGAAAUACACAUUUGCUAACUUGCAAAAAAAAUGUAAUCUGUAUAUGGUAUCUAAACUUUUCUAUUUUCUCUUCAUUAAUGGACGUUCAUGUCCUAAAAAAUCUGAUCUCAUGUCGUAAUGUGUAGACCUGUGAAAUGGAUUGCUUGGGCAAUGUAGCUGAAAUGCGUGAUAUAGUUUUUCAAUUGGAUUUCCUGGCCUGAAUGCUCCUAUUCCACCUGGUGCUAGCUUUGGUUAUCGUCCUAGAGGUUGGAGCAAGCCUCUUGUUGGUGAAGUAAGCUUCCUAUGAUUCUUGCAUUCAAGCUGUCGUAGUGUUUAUAAUAUUUUGUAUGGAUUCUUCUUCUGUGCGAUUGUUGGAUGUUCUCUUCAUUAAUGGAUGUUCAUGUCCUAAAAAAUCUGAUCUCAUGUUGUAAUGUGUAGACAUGUGAGCAAUGUAGCUGAAAUGCGUGAUAUAGUUUUUCAAUUGGAUUUCUUGGCCCGAAUGCUCCUAUUCCACUUGGUGCUAGCUUUGGUUAUCAUCCUAGAGGUUGGGGCAAGCCUC